This 72-nucleotide transfer RNA is filed under the name Salmonella enterica subsp. enterica. Its description in RNAcentral is "tRNA-Arg". It matches the Rfam family "tRNA". Rfam says of the family: Transfer RNA (tRNA) molecules are approximately 80 nucleotides in length. Their secondary structure includes four short double-helical elements and three loops (D, anti-codon, and T loops). Lineage: Bacteria; Pseudomonadati; Pseudomonadota; Gammaproteobacteria; Enterobacterales; Enterobacteriaceae. The record is from RNAcentral.
GCAUCCGUAGCUCAGUUGAUAGAGUACUUCGGCUACGAACCGAGCGUCGAGGUUCGAACUCUCCCGGAUGCA